AUUGAACGCUGGCGGCAGGCCUAACACAUGCAAGUCGAGCGGAUGGAGGGAGCUUGCUCCUGGAUUCAGCGGCGGACGGGUGAGUAAUGCCUAGGAAUCUGCCUGGUAGUGGGGGAUAACGUCCGGAAACGGGCGCUAAUACCGCAUACGUCCUGAGGGAGAAAGUGGGGGUUCUUCGGACCUCACGCUAUCAGAUGAGCCUAGGUCGGAUUAGCUAGUUGGUGGGGUAAAGGCCUACCAAGGCGACGAUCCGUAACUGGUCUGAGAGGAUGAUCAGUCACACUGGAAGUGAGACACGGUCCAGACUCCUACGGGAGGCAGCAGUGGGGAAUAUUGGACAAUGGGCGAAAGCCUGAUCCAGCCAUGCCGCGUGUGUGAAGAAGGUCUUCGGAUUGUAAAGCACUUUAAGUUGGGAGGAAGGGCAGUAAGUUAAUACCUUGCUGUUUUGACGUUACCAACAGAAUAAGCACCGGCUAACUUCGUG
Molecule: ribosomal RNA, 484 nt
Filed under: uncultured bacterium
Lineage: Bacteria
Description: partial 16S ribosomal RNA
Rfam family: Bacterial small subunit ribosomal RNA
Source: RNAcentral